This 519-nucleotide ribosomal RNA is filed under the name uncultured bacterium. Its description in RNAcentral is "bacterial SSU rRNA". It matches the Rfam family "Bacterial small subunit ribosomal RNA", at positions 19 to 518 of the family's 1533-position model. The record is from RNAcentral.
CUGGCUCAGGACGAACGCUGGCGGCGUGCCUAAUACAUGCAAGUAGAACGCUGAAGACUUUAGCUUGCUAAAGUUGGAAGAGUUGCGAACGGGUGAGUAACGCGUAGGUAACCUGCCUACUAGCGGGGGAUAACUAUUGGAAACGAUAGCUAAUACCGCAUAACAGCAUUUAACACAUGUUAGAUGCUUGAAAGGAGCAAUUGCUUCACUAGUAGAUGGACCUGCGUUGUAUUAGCUAGUUGGUGAGGUAACGGCUCACCAAGGCGACGAUACAUAGCCGACCUGAGAGGGUGAUCGGCCACACUGGGACUGAGACACGGCCCAGACUCCUACGGGAGGCAGCAGUAGGGAAUCUUCGGCAAUGGGGGCAACCCUGACCGAGCAACGCCGCGUGAGUGAAGAAAAGGUUUUCGGAUCGUAAAGCUCUGUUGUAAGAGAAGAACGUGUGUGAGAGUGGAAAGUUCACACAGUGACGGUAACUUACCAGAAAGGGACGGCUAACUACGUGCCAGCAGCUGC